This 253-nucleotide ribosomal RNA is filed under the name uncultured bacterium. RNAcentral's name for it is "partial 16S ribosomal RNA". It matches the Rfam family "Bacterial small subunit ribosomal RNA", at positions 524 to 776 of the family's 1533-position model. The record is from RNAcentral.
UACGUAGGUGGCAAGCGUUGUCCGGAAUUACUGGGUGUAAAGGGAGCGCAGGCGGGAAGCCAAGUCAGCUGUGAAAACUACGGGCUUAACUUGUAGACUGCAGUUGAAACUGGUUUUCUUGAGUGAAGUAGAGGUUGGCGGAAUUCCGAGUGUAGCGGUGAAACGCGUAGAUAUUCGGAGGAACACCGGUGGCGAAGGCGGCCAACUGGGCUUUAACUGACGCUGAGGCUCGAAAGUGUGGGGAGCAAACAGG